RNAcentral lists this ribosomal RNA (270 nucleotides) under uncultured archaeon. Its description in RNAcentral is "partial 16S ribosomal RNA". It matches the Rfam family "Archaeal small subunit ribosomal RNA", at positions 477 to 747 of the family's 1478-position model. The record is from RNAcentral.
CAGCACCUCAAGUGGUCAGGAUGAUUAUUGGGCCUAAAGCAUCCGUAGCCGGCUCUGUAAGUUUUCGGUUAAAUCUGUACGCUCAACGUACAGGCUGCCGGGAAUACUGCAGAGCUAGGGAGUGGGAGAGGUAGACGGUACUCGGUAGGAAGGGGUAAAAUCCUUUGAUCUAUUGAUGACCACCUGUGGCGAAGGCGGUCUACCAGAAAACGUUCGACGGUGAGGGAUGAAAGCUGGGGGAGCAAACCGGAUUAGAUACCCGAGUAGUCC